UACGGAGGGUGCAAGCGUUAAUCGGAAUUACUGGGCGUAAAGCGCGCGUAGGCGGCUGAUUAAGUCGGAUGUGAAAUCCCCGGGCUCAACCUGGGAACUGCAUACGAUACUGGUCGGCUAGAGUAUGAGAGAGGGAGGUAGAAUUCCACGUGUAGCGGUGAAAUGCGUAGAGAUGUGGAGGAAUACCGAUGGCGAAGGCAGCCCCCUGGGAUAACACUGACGCUCAUGCACGAAAGCGUGGGGAGCAAACAGG
RNAcentral lists this ribosomal RNA (253 nucleotides) under uncultured bacterium. RNAcentral describes it as "partial 16S ribosomal RNA". It matches the Rfam family "Bacterial small subunit ribosomal RNA", at positions 524 to 776 of the family's 1533-position model. The record is from RNAcentral.